CUUUUACAUUCCAGUUUGAGAUCUUUUAAAAAACAGUGAAGUUUACAUAUAUUCCAUAUCAUCCAAUAUAAAGAUACAAUUGAAUACAAUAAAUGUUCAUAAUCACAUUAAUUGAUUGUAUUUGAAUGUUUUAAAAUAUAUGCAGAGUGUUUUAAAAUAUUCAAAAUAUAUUCACAUUUGUUUUCUGUUUUAACAUUAUAGCAAUCCUGGCCAUGGUGCUUCCCAAAUUUUGUGGACAAUAUAACUGAGACCCAGAGAUUUUCAUCAAAUUGUUAGACAAAGUAAGAUUCAAUCAUAGCCUUCCUGUUUGUUAAAAUGCAUUCUCCACUACCCAUAUCCUUCAUCAUAUUAGAGAAUCAAUAAUUUACUGUUCAUAGUUUCAACUCUCCUCUUUGCUCUAUGUACACACGUUCUCUAAAUCCAUCAAGUAUUUGAUAUCUGUGUUUUCAGAAAUUACAUGUGACCCUUGGUUAGCUUAAUCAAAAUAUUUGCAACUCCGUUUAAGUCUCCCUUGAAUGCACAGUGAGACAAGACAACUUUGAUGCACAGAGUUGUCUUUCUUCGGGAUGACAUUUCUGACAUCAUGUCUGGAAACAAAAGACAUAAUGACUCCAUGAUAUUCCAUCUCAAUCACACAAAAAAACUUAAAAAUUAAAAAAAGAUUUUUAGAAAGAAGAAAUUGCCAUUUUUUUCUGCAGGAAAGGGGAACUGCUUGAAGAAUUUGAAUGAUGUAAGUUUGUCUGAAAGCUUUAAAGAUGAAAGGUAUCACUUUUUACCCAUUAGCAUUAUAGGAUGAUGAGAUCCUGAAUGUGCCUUGCCACUUCAAAGGGUCACUGGACUACAGCUUUCAGAAAAGACUGCCUGCAAGAUUGUGAAGGAGGUUCAAUUCCCUUCAGGUUCUUCUUUCAGUGCACUUGAACAUGGCUACAACUUUUAGAAUUCGCCAAAGUUUUUAAUGUAACUUCUAAAUCUUUCUAUUUCUGGGUCCCCCUUGUAAAUUUCCAUAUAGAACCUCAGAUUUCUUUUGUCCUUCUUCAGGCCUACAUUGAAUUUCUAGGACUUAGACCAGGGUUCUAGCCUCUUGCUUAAAUAUUUAUGCUUAUCACUUCAGUGAACAGAAGGUACAGGUGCAGUUCGGGUUCAAAUUCUGGAAACCCAUCAUGCCUUGCCUAAGAGGUAUCUUGCUGCUAAGACAACUGCCCAGAGAAAUCAGAUGUGUGUCCUGGAGAAACAUGAGGAAUACCAAUUUGACUCAGGGGAGAUCAGAGUUGGGUGAACCUUACUCCAGUUCCUGGUAGAGAGUUUUCCAUAUUAACAACCAUCAGCAGUGGGUUGGACACCAUUCUAAACUCCUCUUGUCUGCUUCUGAAGCAGCUUGCUCUCUCUCUGAAGCACAAUAGGAGCCAUUCGGCCUGGCUAGUCUCUCAGGGGGGUCAACUUUACAUUUCCCAACUCUGUGGAAUUCCUUUGAGAAGUGGCUCACCACCAAGAACCACCUUUUCCCAUGGGACUGAGAUAACACUGCUUGUCCACUCUUUCCCAUGACUCCCAUAAGACAUGGGUGACCCCCUGGUUGAUGAUGAGGCCAAACACAGACCUUCCUUUUUCCUGUACCAGCUGAAAAGGUCAGACACAGACCCUCCACUUUGUUGUUCUUUAUCUCAUAAAUGAUUAGCCUAAGACUAGAACUGUCCCUCCCCCUGAAACUGGCUAGACACAGAGAUAAACAUUUCCUGUUCAGCUAAGUGACUGGGACUCCACCUAAUUGUACAAUAGCCCCAACUGUAAAUCAUGCUGUGUUCCUCCCUGUGACAGUCCAGGGCAAAACCACUGUGCUAAGACAUUCUGAUUUUCAGAUCUAGUGUGCUUUCCUUAUUGUAAUAGCCUGAAUAAAAUCAAUUUCCUUACUGGUUCUCCUUUUGUCUUUGGCAUCAGUAAUGCUGAACAAAACUAUGACACUUAAGAAACUACUCAGACAAUCCUGAACAAUACUCUGAAGGCAGUUGAGAAGUUCACAACCAGCUAGUCCUUGUAUAAUCUUUUUUCCUUUACUAUCUGCAUUCAGUUUAAGCACUGCCCACUGGCAAAGUUACAUAGACACAUAAAUACACAUUGGUACUUUUAUUCAUUUUUGUUUAAAACAGGGAAUCACCUUCCACCAAAUCAUAAAAUUCUCAAGAGCAAGAUAAAGAACACGUUUUCUAAGUCUCCAAAACCCAUUGGAGUAUCUUUCUCACAAGGGAUGGGCAUUGUUAGCCUGCUGGGUUUCAGUUGAUAAUUUUGUCUAAAUAAACUAGGUGGUGUUUUCGUUUUUUCUUUCUCAAUUUAGAGUACUGAGCAAGUUUUGUCCUCUCAGAAUGCCCUUCUUGGAGAUAACAGAUGGGCCAAAUCUGCUAUGAGAUAUCAACAUGUAUUCCUCUGUAAUUCUGUGGGCUUUGUUGUUGUUGGUGGUGGUGGUGGGGUAGCACACAGGGGAGGGAAUGAAGAUGCAUUCAUCACCUGGGGCUAUGAAGUCCAUGCCUCUCCACAGUGCCCCUUCCCUGGCCCUGAAGCUCACAUACACUGCCAAGAUCCAGCUUGUUAACAGAAAUAACACAGCACCAAACUCCUGUGAAUAUCUCCUGCAAAACUUGUUGGAAAAGGCAGGCUCUAAGAUAACGUUCCACGCUGGCAAUUUGGAUUUUCAUUACAAUACCUGUUACUACCUCUGACCUGUCUACUAUAUGCCAACCACAGCACUGAGCACAUCAUAAGUGACACUUUUCAACCACACAACAACUUGCUGAAAGUCAGGUUCAAGUCUGUCUGAAUCCAAAGCCUCUGCUCUUUCUUUACUGAUGAUUGAUCUAUUAUCAAGAAUACAUUUCUUUACCUGAUAUGAGGGAGAGAUUGUGGGCCACCUGAAAACCUUCACAGACUACUAAUAAUCCUCAGAAAGAUUGGGAAGUGGGCGAGGAAAUUCUAAACUCAUACUUGUAUCUUAAUAUUCUAUGAGAUAAACAAGUUAGGGCCAUGUUGAGCAGGUCAGCUAUUGUAAGCAAAGGUCUCAGAUGUGGCACCAAGGCUAUCUGUCCUCGGAUUUCUCUGAACAGCUUAGCAGGGAGUCUCCAUGGUGUAGGCAUAAAAUGAACCAGUGAAGAAAUGUAGAAAAGUAUUUGUUUGUUUUCUCCCAUAGUGUGUUACGAAGGUUUUAGCCCAAAAUCUAAGGAAGCAGAAUGAAGAUUUCUAGAAAACGCAGGUGAGAUGAAGCCAAAGUGUUAUUUAUACAAACAUGAAAUCACAUCAGCUCGUUCUGAAUGCAGCGUAAUAAGCUGCCUUUCUUAGGAAUAAUGAAGCUUGAAACAAAGAUGUUUUUCCUCACUUAUAGGAAUUUCAGACAGCUGGCAUCACAUCCCUUCUAUACUAGAAGUUCCUUUACACUGACCCGAUCCAGGAGUGGUGAGAAGCAUGUAAAUUGUCAAAUGAAAUCCUGCUUGUGGUUUGGAAGGAGGAGAAAAUCCCACCGCCUUUGUUUCUAACCCUGCUGAGAAGCCGUUUUUUAAAAACCCUUUCCAAAGCACUGGGUUCUCUGAGGGUGCUUGAUCAGUGAAUUGUCAAGGUAAAUUUCCAUCUACCAGUUCUCCAGUUUUAGAUCCAAUCAGAUGAUUCCAAAAGAAUAGAAUUGCACAGUGAAGCAAUCUAAGAAAAAUAUAUCUACCAAUGUUGGGGGAAGAUGCCAGGCAUGA
This 3725-nucleotide long non-coding RNA is filed under the name Homo sapiens (human). RNAcentral's name for it is "HSALNT0358854". The record is from RNAcentral. Lineage: Eukaryota; Metazoa; Chordata; Mammalia; Primates; Hominidae.